Molecule: transfer RNA, 73 nt
Filed under: Stegodyphus mimosarum
Lineage: Eukaryota; Metazoa; Arthropoda; Arachnida; Araneae; Eresidae
Rfam family: tRNA
About the family: Transfer RNA (tRNA) molecules are approximately 80 nucleotides in length.
Source: Rfam by way of RNAcentral
GCCUUCGUGGUGUAUUGGUCAGCACACUCGGCGCGUAUUCGAGAGGUCCGUGGUUCGAGUCCCGGCGAGGGCG